AGGCACAUUCCUUCUCCCUAGAACGAAUUGUAAAUAUAAAACUAAGGAAUGAUUUGAUAUAACGCUAACUUGAAAAAAGAAAAAAAAUAUAAUAAAGUUACGUCUAUGGAUAAUAGAAAAGAAAGAAGUGGUAGGAAUUUCCUGCACGAUAUAUACCAUUCUAAUAGAACAACGAUCGAAACUAUAAGAUCUUCAUGAAGUGUAGAAUAGUGCCGAAAGAGUUAACGUACCGAUGUAGUCAUUUAGUUCUUCUUAUCUAUGAUUGGAUGCCAUCAUCCUUCAUCGAAACAACACCACUUUAUUAUUACCAGCAGCCAUCACUACCGUCCUAUUCGUAGUGAGCUUUGUUCACUUCAGAAAACGAAACACGCUCGGACUCGGAGAAAGAUCGAAAUAUUAACGUCCUAGACAGGCUCAAGGUUGGUAAUCGAAACAACGCAGACAUUUACGGCCUAUCAAAACGUAACGUGUACAGAUACUUGACCUUUUGAUCUAUCGAAAUAUAUAUAUAUAUAUAUGUUCUUUCUGUGAGUAGAAUUUUAUAAGAGUGCCGAGAUGAUAACUCGUCUAGCCAUAACGUGUUGUAUAAAUAGUAAAUAGUAUUUCCACCUUUCAAAUGGAACUUUCAAUGGCUUCUACGAACGUGAGGUCCAUAAAUAAAAUUUGAUUUAUUUAUUUAUCGAUGAGUAACAGCGAGAUUUAACUCAAAGGGCAUGAUUAAUGUAAGAAGAUAUAUAGUACAUAUAAUAUAUAUCUCACUAUCUAUACCUUUUAUAUCCAACUCCGAUACUCAUAGAAAAUGAAAUAGUCGUUUUUCUAAAAAAUUCAUUUCAUGUCGUCCGAAGCGAAAGCGAGCGAAUCAUUUAAAUUCAAUAACGAAUCCGAGCAAUUGCGAUAUAAAAUACGCAAUAGCAUACGUACCAGUCCGAUCGAGUACAGCUGCUGAUAUUACAUGCGAAACGCGUACAGAUCAAUGCACGCAUUAUGCGUAUGCAAAUUAUCAUCUACCGCUAUUAGAUUAAUUAAGCAUAAUUACUGUCAUGUGUUGGCACGCGAGGCAUUCUAAUGGCCAUGCGACAAAGCUUUUCCCUCUAGCUCUCUACUUUCCAUCGAAUUUUCGACGUUCGCAUUCCGUUAAAUAAUCCCGUGUGGACUUUAUCAUUAUGCGUUUCGUUCUCCGAAACGUCGUUAUUAUAUCAUUGUGAGUUAAAAAUAAAAAGAGCCUUUAUGCCGAUUAAGGAACAUCAGGUGUAUAAUAAUCAGGCUUGUUUUGCUCUUCUAACUCGUUAAACACGUUGUUGAGGAAGACAUUCGCGACGUGUGACAUGCCACGUGCGUUGUUGCAUGCAACGAAACAAGCUCGAACACGUAUGCUUCUAAACUUCUCAUACUAGGUGAGAAUUCAUGUCACACAAUAUCGUUCUACAGUCUAUACACCGUAUAACGAAGAGCGAGAGAAUAUCGGUAUGGUAUCUAUCGGUGUGCUUUAAAAAUAAUCCUACAGACUCACAGAUAUGGAAUCUGCUCGUAACUUUUGCCGAUUGUAUCACACAACCGAUAGAAACCUUUAUGGAUGAGAAUUUUU
This is a long non-coding RNA of Vespa mandarinia (Asian giant hornet), 1585 nucleotides long. The record is from RefSeq and is a predicted model, not a curated record. Lineage: Eukaryota; Metazoa; Arthropoda; Insecta; Hymenoptera; Vespidae.